AUCUUGAAUAUUAUUAUUGAUAGAGAUAAACUUUAAACAACAAUUAUGUUCAGAAAAGUAACAUUUACAAAUAAGUCAACAUGACCGAAAUGGUCAAUUGACCCCCUUAGGAGUUAUUGUUCUUUAUAGUCAAUUUUUAACAAUUUUUAUAAAAUUUGUAAAUUUUUACUAACAUUUUCCACUGAAACUAAUGGGCCAAGUUCAUUAUAGAUAGAGAUAAUUUUAAGCAGCAAGAAUGUUCAGUAAAGUAAGAUGUACAAACACAUCACCAUCACCAAAACACAAUUUUGUCAUGAAUCCAUCUGCUUCCUUUAAUAUUCACAUAGACCAAGGUGAGCGACACAGGCUCUUAAGAGCCUCUAGUUUUUU
Molecule: long non-coding RNA, 369 nt
Filed under: Mytilus galloprovincialis (Mediterranean mussel)
Lineage: Eukaryota; Metazoa; Mollusca; Bivalvia; Mytilida; Mytilidae
Source: RNAcentral